CCUACGGGGGUCAGCAGUGGGGAAUAUUGCGCAAUGGGCGAAAGCCUGACGCAGCGAAGCCGCGUGAGGGAUGAAGGUCUUCGGAUCGUAAACCUCUGUCAGCAGGGAAGAACGGUCAAUGGGCUAAUCAGCAGUGAAUUGACGGUAACGGCAAAGGAAGAACCGGCGAACUCAGUGCCAGCAGACGCGGUAAUACGGAGGGUGCGAGCGUUAAUCGGAAUUACUGGGCGUAAAGCUCUCGUAGGCGGUAUGUCAAGUCAAGGGUGACAUCCCCGCGCUCAACGUGGCAACUGCCUUUGAAACUGGCAAACUGGAGUGUGUGAGAGGAUAGUGGAAUUCCAGGUGUAGGAGUGAAAGCCGUAGAUAUCUGGAGGAACAUCAGUGGCGAAGGCGACUAUCUGGCACAUAACUGACGCUGAGGAGCGAAAGCGUGGGUAGCAAACAGGAUUAGAUACCCGAGUAGUC
Molecule: ribosomal RNA, 465 nt
Filed under: uncultured bacterium
Lineage: Bacteria
Description: partial 16S ribosomal RNA
Rfam family: Bacterial small subunit ribosomal RNA
Source: RNAcentral